This is a long non-coding RNA of Delphinapterus leucas (beluga whale), 3319 nucleotides long. Lineage: Eukaryota; Metazoa; Chordata; Mammalia; Artiodactyla; Monodontidae. The record is from Ensembl.
CUGAAGCAUCUUCCAUGACAAUUUUUUUUCCAGUGAAUGAAGAAUGUUAUAAACUCUGAUUGCCUGCACUUAAUUUCUGGAAGUUACUGAGGGUUUGCAGUGCUUAUUGUCUGUAUUUGAGAAAUGUACUGAUGACACUAAAAGAUGUUAAUUUAACUGUAUGUUCAAGAGGCAAGCUAGAAGUUAAUUCUAGAAGUAAAACUAGAAGUAUGUUCAAGAAGACAAAUUAGUAUUUUGGUCGUGUGUGUGUGUGUGUGUGUGUGUGUGUGUGUGUGUUUUAUUACUUGUGCUGUUGCCUGGGCAUGCCAAGAUUUGUUUUAACUAGAAGAUAUUGUUUAAGUUCAUUCAGUACAUUUUAUGUCAUUUUCUCCUAGUAAAGAGCUGAAGAAGAAUGAAGGGGCAAGGAACCAAAUAUACAGAAGUGAAAUGACAAAUUAAACCAAAUGGAAUUUCUCUUCAGAGUUCAGAAAUUUCAGAUGGCCAGGAAGAAAGGAAGGCUCUACUAUUUCUUAUCCUUAUGAAAGAAUCUAGAAAAAUCAGAAGCAAGGAAUCGAUUCUGUGGACUCAAACUAAUACAUGGACAGUAACAUUUUAUUCAAGAAACAGUAUCCCAGUCACAUAAGAGAAAAUAAAAACAUCAGGAGUCACGUCAAUCAAAAGGCUCUGUUGAGUGGCAAACUCGGUCUGUGGAUGGACCCAAUUAUCUGCAGGCGAACUGAAUGUCAGCAUCAUUUAGGGUUAACAAUGGACCAGCUAGGCAAAAGCAGACAGCUACUCUCUGCAGAGACCCGGAAAGCAAACUUGGUCUGGCAAACUGAAACAUCCAAUACACUUGCGACAGACAGACUAGAGUUGCUGCAAAUCCUACAGUCCCAUGAAGUGAAGGUGUUAAGUGUUUGGUGUUAAGGACGGACCUUAGUAAGCAAGCCUCCUUCUUGCUGGGGGAGUGGAGAUUCUGCCCCUAAAAAUGAAAUCAGCAUAUCAGUGUCCACAGCCUCGCGCAUUUCCUUUGGAAGGUCGGAGUUCCUCGGACUACAAACAAGAGGACACAAGGGAGAGUGGGAACCUUGAAUCUGGAAGUUUUCAUGAGAAGGGAAAGGUUCCAGGUGGUAAAAAAUAGGAUGGGUCUUGCUCAGCAGAAACAGAGGUGAGAAGCCAGGCAGGCAAGGGGCAGUGGUUUCAGCUCAGUUGCCAAAGGCUAACUGUAAACACCUGAUGCUCUUUGUAUUUUCUCCAGUGAUUGUCUUUCCCUUUAUCCUUGCUAUUGAAAAUGUAUUCUGUUCAGAGGACCAGAGAACUUUGUUGCUUGGGCUUAAGUUUUAGAGAAAAGCAACCACAGAACCCCAAACUGAAUAACCCAAGGGGAAAAGUGAGCAAGAGACCAUGUAAGAAUGCUUUUGUAUACUUCCACUCCUCUCCACUGGAAAAGCUCCCUUCAGAGCUCAUCUGUGUAAAACUCUGGAAAUGGAAAAGAAAGAUCAAAACAUGAAAAGGAAGACCCUUCUUUUUCGUACUUGUCCAGGUUCACAGAAUCCAGGGCCAGGACCCCACCUCCUACUCCUACUGCUGUUUACUAGGUAACAUUCUCAGUUACCUUAAAGCUGAAUUAUUCAAUCCUAAUUCUUGAAAAAUCCUAAACUUCUUCAACCUCCUACACAACUAAGAGUAACAUCCCGUAUAGAGCGUGGUCUACAUUCAGGUAAAUUCCCCUUUAACACUAGGUUGUUAUAAGUGGUGAAUUUGAAUGAGUGAGGGUUGAAAGUAGGAAAAGUAUAAGGUGAUAGCAGAGAGUCCAGAGAGAGACAUUUCGGUGCACGCACAAGAGGUCGUUUUCUUUGAUUUAUGGUUUUUUACUAUGUUGACAGUUGGAUACAGAUAAGGACUGAUUCUAUUUACGUAUCAAUAGCUGGAGUUACAGCUUGCCUAAAUAUACGCUUAUAGUUAAAGAUCAAAAAUAGCUUUAACACUUUUCAUGUUUCUUCAGAGCGUGUGUGAUCACUUUCAAUUGAUUCACCAGCUGAUUAUUGAAAGCCUGUUUGUCAAGCAGUGGGCAGGAGCUGGGUGGACAGUUGAACCAGGAGCCUCAACUCUUCUACUCUGUGUCUCACCUUGAAAUUGUCACAUGUUUACUGCCACCAUCACCCCACAGUGGUUUUCAGAGGACUUCCACAUACAUUACUAAACUUGAGCCUCAUGACCAUCUUUGUUGAACAGAAAAGUCCCCCAUUUUUCAAACCAGUCGCAAAGAGAUUGAGUGACUUGCCCAAUAACUGUUAAUCAGCGUCCAGCUGUCCUCCUCCCAGUGCUGUGUUCUUUCCAACCAGGAAAACCCAUCACUGACAUCUGAAAACUGUGGAAAUAAGUUAUAUGGAAAGCCAAUAUGUUCCCUGUACAAGAGGCAACAUUACGUGAUAACACUAAUUUGGAUGUGGGUCUUUUCGGAUCAAUUUAUGAUCUCUUCCUGUAGUCAGCUAUAAAGUGUUUGUUUUUGCUGCCAUCCUAUAUUUAAAUAUAUUUUUAAAUACAAGAACUUAAAAUGUAAAGUUGUAACAGAGGCCAAAUAAAAACAUGUAAAAAAAUUUUUUUGUUGUAUUUUGUAGACAGAGGAAGAAGAUGUGCAGAAAAUGCCAGAGUCCCUUUUCAAAACCUUUUCGCAAAUCAAGUAAAACAAAAUCAUUUCGUGCAUUGUAUAUUGAAGCCAAAUAGUUUUUAUUCAAGUUACCAAAUAAAUUACAUUUUCUAUUAAAGGGCAGUAAAUUCCCAUUUGACGUAAAACUUCAUUAUAUCAACUAACUUGGAGGUACCACAGAACCUUUCAUUAAAUGCAAACCUGACCACGUCACACCCCGUUUAAAACUCUUCACUGGUACUCCCAUCCACUCUUACUAAAUCCAGUGAGUUUUUCCUAUUUGCUUAACAAUUAUUCCUAGAAAUUAAGUCCUGUGCUCUCUGAUAUCACAGGAAACUCUCAAAUGAAAUUCAGUCACCUUGGAAGUGACAGCAAAAGUAAGAAACUUGGUUGAUAUCUGAAAGUCCAAACCACAGAGCACAGCAAAGACCUCCCUGAUCUGUCCCCUCUGUUCAUCCGUGUCAUGACUGCCUGUGGAGGUCCUCUGUUCACACUGCAGCGAGACCAUACUACUGCCCUCCAGGGACCAUUGCUGCUUCAAGCCCUUGACUUGUUCUCUUGACUUGAAGACAGCUUUUUCCCAAAGCCUCUGCCAAGUAUAUUUCCAUUCAAGUUUCAUCUCAAAUAACACAUGCACUAAGAUUCCUUUCCUAAUUACUAACCAUGGAUAAUUGUAUUCUCACAGUGUCC